UGUUAGAAAUGACUCCUCUCUCUUUUCUGGAAAAAGAGAUAGUUGAGGAAAUGAGGGAAAAAUGUUCUCUCUGAAUAUUACCCAAAUCCUCAUCUCUUCCCCAGGAAGGCUAGACUGAGAUUCAGGGAUGAAUUCACAAAGGCAUUCGUCUUCGUGUGGUCACAGAGGAGUGAUCAGGUAGGAGCUACUGAAGUGCCGGAGCAAAUUAGGUGUGUCCACAUUCGGAGUUUCUUGCUUCGCCCUGACUCUUUCUGAAGUGAAUCCAUCACCUGCCAACCUUGCUGUGCUUGGGUUUGCAUCAAGGAGCAGCCCCAGAGGAUGCAGACUGAACUUUUCCAUGAGCUUCACCCAGAAGUUGAGUUUUCAAUACACAAGGCCAGACUGGAGUUGACUCGUUAUCAACUUGCCCUGAAAUUCACGUAGUGCGGAUGUCGGGUCUUGAGCAUCAAAGUUUUUGGCCUGUAAAUCUAUUGCUGUGGGGAUGUGUUACUUGUUAACAAAGAUACUGCUUUGGCUGUUCCUUUCCAACUGAAAUCCAGUGGCACUUAGCGGUAUCGCAAAUCCUGCUAGGUGUCUUUGUAAACACCAUUAAGAAAAGAGCCUCAAUAUCUGAAUAUUUUUUAUACAUAACUGGCAUUUAUUUAUAUCUCAAA
This is a long non-coding RNA of Aquila chrysaetos chrysaetos, 653 nucleotides long. RefSeq lists it as uncharacterized. The record is from RefSeq and is a predicted model, not a curated record. NCBI's taxonomy places the organism in Eukaryota, Metazoa, Chordata, Aves, Accipitriformes, Accipitridae. The transcript is spliced from 2 exons.